This 177-nucleotide small nucleolar RNA is filed under the name Erinaceus europaeus (western European hedgehog). Its description in RNAcentral is "Small nucleolar RNA SNORA23 (ENSEEUG00000017175.1)". It matches the Rfam family "Small nucleolar RNA SNORA23". Rfam says of the family: The members of this family belong to the H/ACA class of snoRNAs which are thought to guide the sites of modification of uridines to pseudouridines. This family includes human snoRNA ACA23 (SNORA23) and mouse snoMBI-1. The record is from RNAcentral. Lineage: Eukaryota; Metazoa; Chordata; Mammalia; Eulipotyphla; Erinaceidae.
AGUGAAUACUAAAUGUGGUGUUUCCCUCUGAGAAAUAUCAUGAUCAGAAUAUACUAGAGAGCUUGCUAUUUGCACAAACAACAUGUAGCCAAAGAGUAAAUUGGGAUCAUAGUACUGGUCUAGAGUGUCCCUCUAGAUCUUCCCACUCCUGGUCAGCAUCUAAAUUCCCACACAGAA